UACGUAGGGAGCGAGCGUUGUCCGGAAUCAUUGGGCGUAAAGCGCGCGUAGGCGGCCCGAUAAGUCCGCUGUAAAAGUCAACGGCUCAACUGUUGAAAGCCGGUGGAUACUGUCGGGCUAGAGUACGGAAGAGGGGGGUGGAAUUCCUGGUGUAGCAGUGAAAUGCGUAGAUAUCAGGAGGAACAUCGAUGGCGAAGGCAGCCCCCUGGGCCGAUACUGACACUCAGGUGCGACAGCGUGGGGAGCAAACAGG
RNAcentral lists this ribosomal RNA (253 nucleotides) under uncultured bacterium. Its description in RNAcentral is "partial 16S ribosomal RNA". It matches the Rfam family "Bacterial small subunit ribosomal RNA", at positions 524 to 776 of the family's 1533-position model. The record is from RNAcentral.